CCUACGGGCGGCAGCAGUGAGGAAUAUUGGUCAAUGGGCGCGAGCCUGAACCAGCCAAGUAGCGUGAAGGAUGACUGCCCUACGGGUUGUAAACUUCUUUUAUAAAGGAAUAAAGUGAGGCACGUUUGCCUUUUUGUAUGUACUUUAUGAAUAAGGAUCGGCUAACUCGGUGCCAGCAGCCGCGGUAAUACGGAGGAUCCGCGCGUUAUCCGGAUUUAUUGGGUUUAAAGGGAGCGUAGAUGGGUUGUUAAGUCAGUUGUGAAAGUUUGCGGCUCAACCGUAAAAUUGCAAUUGAUACUGGCAGUCUUGAGUACAGUUGAGGUAGGCGGAAUGCGGGGUGUAGCGGUGAAAUGCAUAGAUAUGGCGAAGAACUCCGAUGGCGAAGGCAGCAUGCCGG
RNAcentral lists this ribosomal RNA (397 nucleotides) under uncultured bacterium. RNAcentral's name for it is "partial 16S ribosomal RNA". It matches the Rfam family "Bacterial small subunit ribosomal RNA", at positions 338 to 732 of the family's 1533-position model. The record is from RNAcentral.